Molecule: long non-coding RNA, 579 nt
Organism: Herpailurus yagouaroundi (jaguarundi)
Lineage: Eukaryota; Metazoa; Chordata; Mammalia; Carnivora; Felidae
Exons: 3
Source: RefSeq, a predicted model, not a curated record
AGAGCUGGAUACUUAACCGACCGAGCCACCCAGGCGUCCCUACAAGUUUGAGUCUUGUUAUCAUCCUGAAAUACAGUUCUUCUAUUUCAAAAAAUUCUUUAUUAGUUAUUAGAAUAACGGGCAUGGUACUGGACAGAGGCGUCAGUCAGUAAUAAUGUAUUUUUUUUAAGGUCUUGUUUUUAAAUAAUCUCCAUACCCGAUGUGGAGCUCGCAGGACCCCCAGAUCAGGAGUCACCUGCUCUACCACGCAGCCAGCCGGGCGCCCCGAUAUUGCAUUUCCCAAACAAGCAGAGACAGUAUGGCCACAUGAUGCCUGAUCUAAUUUAUAUGAAAUGUCCAGAAUCGGCAAAUCCAUCGGGACAGGAAGUAGCCUGAAAUUCCAAGGAACAUGAAACGUGCCAACAGGAAGACAGCAAAAGUGCUGACCUUCCCCCAGAUUCUUCUUCAAUCAGAAACUGACCAUCACACCCCUCGCAUGCUGUGGGCCCUGGUGUGAGGACAGGCAUACUGGUGAAGGAGACAGACAGAAUCAGGCCGGACAAUAUCCGGGUGUCAUGGAAAUAAAACAGGACGACGUGA